Mytilus californianus (California mussel) is the source of this 1606-nucleotide long non-coding RNA. RefSeq lists it as uncharacterized. The transcript has 3 exons. NCBI's taxonomy places the organism in Eukaryota, Metazoa, Mollusca, Bivalvia, Mytilida, Mytilidae. The record is from RefSeq and is a predicted model, not a curated record.
AAAUAUAAAGAUUUUAAAUGAAGUACUACCAAGCAACACUGAAGAUUAUGAUAGUUUUACUAAUUCACAAAAGAACUCCCAGACCACAAACUCCCAGACUUCUAAUUGGAGUGAUUGUAGUGAACUUGCACUGGAGAAAGUUAAUGUGGUAAUGGAAUCAAUCAAUGUGAGCCCCUUACCUUCUACACUUCAAAACGAUGUUAAAGAUGUAAAAGAUUCAACAAUCAGGUAUUACAAGCGGAAAGCACAUGAAUCUAUUGAUUCAUUGUUGGAUUUUAUGGCUCCAAAACAAGGACACUUACUUAAAGAUGAAGUUUUAACUAAAAACAGAGACAAAUCUUUACCAACAGACAGUGAUAUGAUAGAAGAUCUAUCAAAACUCUACAUGGAAACAGUGGACAAUUCCUUAAAAAUGCAAAUUCUAUCUGUUAUCACAAAUAGACUAACCAAAGCAGAACUUCAAAUAGCAAUACCAGGUAUAACAAUGUAUCGUAUAGACCAGACACGACUUCAUUUCAAUACCUCUACAAAUUUGGGUCUACAAGUCAAAAAUAAAAUAAAAGUACCACGUCAAAGAAUGGAUGAUAGCAAGCUGGAACAUGCCAUAAGUUUUUUUUUUGACACUUCAUUUAUGCAGCUAGUAUCCUAUGGUACAAGAGAUUUGAAAUUGGAUUCAGGGGAAAAUAUUACUAUACCAGAUGUAAUCAGAACAACAAAUCACUCCAAAAUUAUAGACCUGUACUUUUCAUACUGCACAGAAUCAAAUUUUGAACCACUUUCUAAAUAAACUUUAUUUAAAAUUCUAAAUACUUGUGCUGCUACUAAAUGCACCAAUUUACACGGUUUAGACAAUAUUGCAGCUGAGGGAAUUGAAGGUUUUGAAUCACUAAAAGAAAUUACAAAACAGAUUUAUGAAAGAUCCAUUCUAUCAACUGAAGAACAUGAACAGAUACAAAAAAUAUCACAUCAGCAAAACUUUAUUUCAAAACCGAUUAUAAACUUCAUCUGGAAAAAGACUGCCUGUGUGCUGACCAUUGUCUUCAAUGGCUUUUGAGUGACCCUGAAAACUGUCAUUUUCAAAGUCCCUGUGAGCACAUUCAUACAUUAGUGUGUGAUAGGUGUGAAAUGUUACAUGGCAUAGAGCAUGAUGUGUUCAAAGGUAUUGGUAAGAUGGGAGAUCAUGACUUCAAAGAGGAUACCACCAAAAACUUCCAGGAUGCAUUACAGAAAAUCAAUGACUAGAAAGCUCAUAUUGCUAGAAAUGUUAAUCAAGAUCUUUUUAGAAUUCAAAAGCUGGAUAAUUUAAAGCGAUUUGAAGGAGUUUUAGUGAUGGACUGGGCCAUGAAAUUUCUACCAAUGAGAUACAGAGAGAAACAAACAGAUUGGUUUGGCCAAAGGGGAAAACAUUGGCAUGUCAGUGUCUGCAUUUAUAGAGAUGAAAGUGGUGAAAUUGGGCAUAGGACAUUUACUCAUGUUCUUGAGAAUGUUAAACAAGAUUGGUUUGCAGUGGCAUCACUGUUGGAACACGUGCUGCAAACAGUUAAAAUCCAACUACCUCAGGUGACAGAUAUGUUUCUUCGCUCUGAUAAUGCAGGCUGCUACCAUU